GCCUUCGUGGUGUAGUGGUCAGCACGCUGGGCGCGUAUUCCAGAGGUCCGUGGUUCGAAUCCCGGCGAAGGCG
This 73-nucleotide transfer RNA is filed under the name Stegodyphus mimosarum. It matches the Rfam family "tRNA". From Rfam's summary of the family: Transfer RNA (tRNA) molecules are approximately 80 nucleotides in length. Their secondary structure includes four short double-helical elements and three loops (D, anti-codon, and T loops). Further hydrogen bonds mediate the characteristic L-shaped molecular structure. tRNAs have two regions of fundamental functional importance: the anti-codon, which is responsible for specific mRNA codon recognition, and the 3' end, to which the tRNAs corresponding amino acid is attached (by aminoacyl-tRNA synthetases). tRNAs cope with the degeneracy of the genetic code in two manners: having more than one tRNA (with a specific anti-codon) for a particular amino acid; and 'wobble' base-pairing, i.e. permitting non-standard base-pairing at the 3rd anti-codon position. The record is from Rfam by way of RNAcentral. Lineage: Eukaryota; Metazoa; Arthropoda; Arachnida; Araneae; Eresidae.